Non-coding RNA from Triticum urartu, 3377 nucleotides. Lineage: Eukaryota; Viridiplantae; Streptophyta; Magnoliopsida; Poales; Poaceae. The record is from RefSeq and is a predicted model, not a curated record.
CUAUCUCGUCACCCGCUUCGUCUUUCUAUCUGGCAGCGAGCGAAUGGAUAGCCCGCCGCCGCCGCCGCCCACAGCCCCCGCCCCCGCCCCGGCCCUGACCAUCUCCUGUACGCCUUAUGCGCCGUCCGCGUCUCAGCCUCACGCCCGCCCAGUUCGCCGGCGGCCCCUCUCCCUCGCUGCACGCGAGCAGGCUGCCGAUCCCGGAUCCAGUGUCGUCCGGGUUUCCUCAUCGACGGUGAGAUCGGCUUGGUCUUCCUCGCGGCGGAGGCGGGGCGGCACGCCGGCCACGCCUUGGGUCGUGAGCGGCUCGAUAUCAAUCUCAUCAAGUACUGGUGCUUUGCAGCCCACUGAUGGAUCAACGACUAAUCUCCCGAGGUUGAUUUGUGUGGACUGAACCUGUUCCUCUAAACCAAGGGGUCCUUCUGGCCCUUCUCCUGCAACUGGCAUGCGACAUAGCAAAUGAGACAUCCUUGCAGCUUCAAUGGAUACAAAGGCAUACCAAUUCCAGAAGAUGUGCACAAGGAAGUUAAUGUAACAAGCAUCUUGAAACUAACUUGUGGUGGCACUUGCUACAAAGCAGUGUAUACAAGAAAGAUGUUUGAUCAUAUUAUCUGCUACAGAUCUGCAUCUGUAGAUUAUGUCAAUGUUCUGGAGCGCACUUGAUUAUGUGAGGUACCAUGGUCUUUUCGGGAUCUUUGAAUCUUGGAGAAAUGCCAUGUUGACCAUUGCGAGGUGCUGCCUAUUUUUAUUAUUUGGUGAUUACAAUUACUAAAUGUAUCAUACUUGUUGUAAGAUGAACUUCUGGAGAAUAUAUGUCACAUAUAUGAAUUAUGAAGUGUGUUUUGACAGAUAUAUUGAGGAAAUAAUGAUUCCUAAUUUGUUCUCAGAUAAUUUAUAUCAGUUUGGACCUAAUCAUACCAUUGGUUUGUAAGACAAGAAAUCUGUGACCAAUCCAACCACUACAACAAACAAAAUUUCUUAUCAGCAGGGUUGCUCCUGGACCAAUUAAUUACCAUUUAGAGUGUGCGCGUGCUUAAAAUUCGUGUAUCAAAGAGUUUGUUCUCAGAUAUUGCAGAAUAGUUCUUAUGUGAAGAUUGUUUUGAUAUGUGCCUUCAGCUCUAUGCCUUCGUAAAAGUAGGCCAAAAUCAUAUUUCUAACACUUAUUAAGGGAUGCUAUUUUAGUUCAUUUUCCAUAUGCUUAUGGAGAAUUUCCAAUUAUGCAUUAAAUGGUACUGCAUAACUUAGUUUAUGUAUCUGAAACACUUUUGUAUGUGCUAUAUACACACUUUCUCUCAUGGUUCAACAUGUGAAUAUUGCUUCAGUAACUUGGUGUCAUGCGGAAGGAGGUCCAACUUAGGUGAAGUCUUGUCAAGGGAAAAUAAUGAAUAAGCCGAGCAUCAAAUCAUACAAAUCAAAACCAAGCUCCAACCAACUAUUUGAUUAGUGAUAUAUGUUUGCCACAAAUUUAACAUAUUUUGGGACUAAUUUUAGAAAUUCCGACCAUUCUAUUGCCAAAAUUGACGGGCGCGCAAAGCGCGCCAUCCACGAUCUAGUUCUUCAUAUACUAACCCUCUCCUAAAUGAUAGAUGAGGCAUUUGACUUAUCUCCGUUAUUUUCCUUUCUGCAAAUUAGACCAAUAGUCUCUUUUAGUCAACUUAAGGGUAUGUUGAAUAUGACAGUUAAUGAAGAUGGUCAUUCUUGCUGUUGAAAGUACACAAUCUGACUCAUUUUAAAGUUGUACCUUAUCUUUAUGACAAGACUAAGCUGCUACUUUAGCAAGUGUUUUACUUCAACACAGAUUGCUGUAAGACAGAAAGCAUUUUUUUGCAAUAAAGCAAGCAUUGAACGCACUGAAGUGUCCACAGCAGAAGAGCUUGAAUUUUUUGCUGACAUAAAUUUAAGUAACCUUCUCCAUGCAUAUGCUGUUUCUUUCAACCAUUUGUAUCUAAAUAUCAAUACUCAUUUUGAACUAUAUGCUCAGGCCUACCUUUUUGUUUGAUGUUAUUGGUGUGGUCUGUGUAUAAUUGUUAACUUGAUUGCGAUUUUAGUGAUAGCUCGUCACACACUACAGAAAUCUAUUUUCCAUUCUGUAGCUCUAUGCUCAUCUGCGCCCAGGUGCAGCUAUAGCAUGGUGAAGUAACACUACAGGUAGAGAAGAAAGAAAGGAAGAAUGAUGGUAAGAACCACUGAGAUACCGAGUCCGGCCAGCCAGAAGAGUGUCAGGAGAGUGUUUCUUCAUUGGAAGAGGUGACAAAAAUUGUCCUUUAGAGUAUAUUAGUUGUUUAGCCAUCACUGAGAUAGACUAACACAUACAUUUUGUUUUGUUUUGUACUGCACCCUUAUAAUUUGGCUUUGCUGAAUACACUAUAUUUACUUCAUUUCUCUUUUGAGUUAGCAAUAAUGAUCAGUUAACAAUGUUUUAGCUGAUGAUUCAGGACAAUAUCGGCCGGUUCAUUGAGCAGAGUGGUGGGAAGCUCACGAAAACACCCUUUCCAAACAGAUUUUCUUUUUCAUCAUUGUGAAGGUUGAUUUUACCUAUUUCACUUAGAUGGUGACCUCCCUGCACUCCCAUUUUUUGCUUUGGAUUCUCUUUUAAAUGGUGAGCGCUCAGAUUCUGAACAUUGCCUCUUUAGUACUGUUUUAUUAUUUUAUGAAAUUUAAGAAAAUAUGACCAAUGUGAUUUUGUUCUCUAAAGACUGGAAUUGAAUAGUAGGUCCUUUUGGUACUGUCCUAUUACGAUUUGUGGCUAAGAAAUGCAUCAGUUCGACUAGGCAUUAUCAUGUAUUGUACCGUAGUAUCAUUUUUGCAUAGACUAAAUACCUACUUUUGCUGAAGGUUACUUUUCUUAAUAAAAUUUGGUUCAGGACGCUGUUUUGCCUGUUGUAGUACUUUCAGCAUAGAUGCAGUAGUGGUCUGCUCCCCAAAGAUCUGUAGCUCGUGGAUGCAGUGGAUGUGGCACAGGGAGCAGAUGAAAUGGGAAUAAGAGGAUCCCCUGCACGUGCACAAAUUCUUGCUACCUGAUGGCUGACGGUGAGGAUGCCUCUGACCUGUCUCGAGAAGGUUCGAGCCGCAGGACCAUGAGUAGAGCGCACCACCAAUUCCUCCAACAGCACAGCUGUUGUACUGGUAGCAGCGACAACAACUCUCCACACAAGCGUCGAUGUACCUGAUGCCGUGUUCUGCCGGAGCCAAGGUCCAGCGCAUUUUAGUUUUGUGGGAUAGACAUGUUAGUUCAAAUGCCCAACGGGUUUGAUGCUGAAUUGUUCGUAUAAUCUUGCACCUAUUUUUGUAGUCAAAUAAUGAUUUUUAGAUGCAUUAGUUAAGAAGACUGAUUUUUUUGGAAAGCUUAUCAUGACAUGGAUCUUAGUUUUGCUUUA